This 420-nucleotide ribosomal RNA is filed under the name Staphylococcus aureus. RNAcentral's name for it is "partial 23S ribosomal RNA". It matches the Rfam family "Bacterial large subunit ribosomal RNA", at positions 1603 to 2024 of the family's 2925-position model. The record is from RNAcentral. Lineage: Bacteria; Bacillati; Bacillota; Bacilli; Caryophanales; Staphylococcaceae.
CACUGCCGAGAAAAGCCUCUAGAUAGAAAAUAGGUGCCCGUACCGCAAACCGACACAGGUAGUCAAGAUGAGAAUUCUAAGGUGAGCGAGCGAACUCUCGUUAAGGAACUCGGCAAAAUGACCCCGUAACUUCGGGAGAAGGGGUGCUCUUUAGGGUUAACGCCCAGAAGAGCCGCAGUGAAUAGGCCCAAGCGACUGUUUAUCAAAAACACAGGUCUCUGCUAAACCGUAAGGUGAUGUAUAGGGGCUGACGCCUGCCCGGUGCUGGAAGGUUAAGAGGAGUGGUUAGCUUCUGCGAAGCUACGAAUCGAAGCCCCAGUAAACGGCGGCCGUAACUAUAACGGUCCUAAGGUAGCGAAAUUCCUUGUCGGGUAAGUUCCGACCCGCACGAAAGGCGUAACGAUUUGGGCACUGUCUCAA